UACGUAGGGAGCAAGCGUUGUCCGGAAUCAUUGGGCGUAAAGCGCGCGUAGGUGGCCCCGUAAGUCCGCUGUGAAAGUCAAAGGCUCAACCUUUGAAAGCCGGUGGAUACUGUGGGACUAGAGUACGGAAGAGGCGAGUGGAAUUCCUGGUGUAGCGGUGGAAUGCGCAGAUAUCAGGAGGAACACCGGUGGCGAAGGCGGGUCUCUGGGCCGAUAUUGACGCUGAGGAGCGAAAGCGUGGGGAGCGAACAGG
Molecule: ribosomal RNA, 253 nt
Filed under: uncultured bacterium
Lineage: Bacteria
Description: partial 16S ribosomal RNA
Rfam family: Bacterial small subunit ribosomal RNA
Source: RNAcentral